GACGAACGCUGGCGGCGUGCUUAACACAUGCAAGUCGAACGGUAAGGCCCCUUCGGGGGUACACGAGUGGCGAACGGGUGAGUAACACGUGGGUAAUCUGCCCUGCACUUCGGGAUAAGCCUGGGAAACUGGGUCUAAUACCGGAUAUGAGCUCCUGCCGCAUGGUGGGGGUUGGAAAGUUUUUCGGUGCAGGAUGAGUCCGCGGCCUAUCAGCUUGUUGGUGGGGUAAUGGCCUACCAAGGCGACGACGGGUAGCCGGCCUGAGAGGGUGAUCGGCCACACUGGGACUGAGACACGGCCCAGACUCCUACGGGAGGCAGCAGUGGGGAAUAUUGCACAAUGGGCGAAAGCCUGAUGCAGCGACGCCGCGUGGGGAUGACGGUCUUCGGAUUGUAAAGCCCUGUCUUAUGGGAAGAAGAAAGUGACGGUACCAUAGGAGGAAGCCACGGCUAACUACGUGCCAGCAGCCGCUAAGCUGUAGUCGU
This 485-nucleotide ribosomal RNA is filed under the name uncultured bacterium. Its description in RNAcentral is "bacterial SSU rRNA". It matches the Rfam family "Bacterial small subunit ribosomal RNA", at positions 28 to 532 of the family's 1533-position model. The record is from RNAcentral.